Molecule: ribosomal RNA, 521 nt
Filed under: uncultured Acinetobacter sp.
Lineage: Bacteria; Pseudomonadati; Pseudomonadota; Gammaproteobacteria; Moraxellales; Moraxellaceae
Description: bacterial SSU rRNA
Rfam family: Bacterial small subunit ribosomal RNA
Source: RNAcentral
AGAGUUUGAUCCUGGCUCAGAUUGAACGCUGGCGGCAGGCUUAACACAUGCAAGUCGAGCGGGGAAGGGUAGCUUGCUACCUGACCUAGCGGCGGACGGGUGAGUAAUGCUUAGGAAUCUGCCUAUUAGUGGGGGACAACAUUCCGAAAGGAAUGCUAAUACCGCAUACGCCCUACGGGGGAAAGCAGGGGAUCUUCGGACCUUGCGCUAAUAGAUGAGCCUAAGUCAGAUUAGCUAGUUGGUGGGGUAAAGGCCUACCAAGGCGACGAUCUGUAGCGGGUCUGAGAGGAUGAUCCGCCACACUGGGACUGAGACACGGCCCAGACUCCUACGGGAGGCAGCAGUGGGGAAUAUUGGACAAUGGGCGAAAGCCUGAUCCAGCCAUGCCGCGUGUGUGAAGAAGGCCUUUUGGUUGUAAAGCACUUUAAGCGAGGAGGAGGCUACCGAGAUUAAUACUCUUGGAUAGUGGACGUUACUCGCAGAAUAAGCACCGGCUAACUCUGUGCCAGCCGCCGCGGUAA